CACUGCUAUUGGGAUUCGACUAAGCCAUGCGAGUCGAGAGGGUUCGGCCCUCGGCGUACGGCUCAGUAACACGUGGAUAAUCUGCCCUUAGGUGGAGGAUAAUCUCGGGAAACUGAGAAUAAUACUCCAUAGAUCUAGGAUGUUGGAAUACACUUAGAUUGAAAGAUUUAUCGCCUAAGGAUGAAUCUGCGGACUAUCAGGUAGUAGUCAGGGUAAAGACCUGACUAGCCUACGACGGAUACGGGUUGUGAGAGCAAUCACCCGGAGAUGAUAUCUGAGACACGAUAUCAGGCCCUACGGGGCGCAGCAGGCGCGAAAACUUCGCAAUGUGCGAAAGCACGACGAGGGGAUCCCAAGUGCUAGCUCGUAAGAGUUAGCUGUUUUUAUGUCUAAAAAACAGAGAGAGUAAGGGCUGGGUAAGACGGGUGCCAGCCGCCGCGGUAAUACCUGCAGCUCAAGUGGUGGCCGCUAUUAUUGGGCCUAAAACGUCCGUAGCCGGUUUGUU
This 505-nucleotide ribosomal RNA is filed under the name uncultured archaeon. Its description in RNAcentral is "bacterial SSU rRNA". It matches the Rfam family "Archaeal small subunit ribosomal RNA", at positions 25 to 534 of the family's 1478-position model. The record is from RNAcentral.